Molecule: non-coding RNA, 104 nt
Organism: Acanthosepion pharaonis
Lineage: Eukaryota; Metazoa; Mollusca; Cephalopoda; Sepiida; Sepiidae
Source: the annotation of a GenBank genome assembly
UUACGGUCAUAUCACAUUGAAACAUUGGUUCUCAUCCAAUUUCCAAAGUUAAGCAAUGCUGAACCUGGUCAAUACCUAGAUGGGUGACCACUUGGGAAUACCAG